This is a small nucleolar RNA of Notolabrus celidotus (New Zealand spotty), 217 nucleotides long. RefSeq annotates it as small nucleolar RNA U3. The transcript has a single exon. NCBI's taxonomy places the organism in Eukaryota, Metazoa, Chordata, Actinopteri, Labriformes, Labridae. The record is from RefSeq and is a predicted model, not a curated record.
AAGACUAUACUUUCAGGGAUCAUUUCUAUAGUUUCUAACUCAUGAAAUGUGUUUCUAAAGUGUUUGGUCUCGCUAACCACGAUGAUGAGUUGGUGAUACUCUCUCCUGAGCGUGAAGCGGGUAGAAAAACUUGAAGUGAUUCACAUGUUUUCUACUUUUGAUGACCGUUCACUGUCUCCUCUGGGGACGAUGAGGGAGAGAGUAUGAUCAGAGUGGC